This is a non-coding RNA of Rattus norvegicus (Norway rat), 1094 nucleotides long. NCBI's taxonomy places the organism in Eukaryota, Metazoa, Chordata, Mammalia, Rodentia, Muridae. The record is from RefSeq and is a predicted model, not a curated record.
UGACUGCUCUUCCAGAGGUCCUGAGUUCAAUUCCUAGUAACCACACGGUGGCUCACAAGCACCUGUAAUAGGAUUGCCCUCUUUUGGUGUGUUUGAAGAUGGUGACAGUGUAUUCAUCUACAUCAAAUAAAUAAAUCCUUUUUUCAAAUUCACUAAUUUUUUUAAAAAAGAAUAUUUUAUGAUGAGAUCAUAAGCCUAGCAACCAGGGAAGGAAACAGAUAAAAAGGAAUGUCAAGAAGUGUAGAUGGCUUUAUCAUUUGAAUACUCUACUGGCCUACUUGGCAAGACUCUGGAGACCGAGAGAGCAGAGCAGUCACAAGUCAACCACCAGUAACCAGCAGCCUUCAGGAAGAUAGUAGGGUAGCCCCAGGCCAGACUGCAUGAACAGGGCUAGAGAGGAUACAUAGGCCUCCAGGAAAUAUAUCCUCUUGAAAACUCAGUCUCCAAGGCUUUAAUUUUUCCAUUUCAUUAAGCUCCAACUGUUGGCAAGAGAUGCCUAGUGUCAGAAGUGCACACUCUGAUUAUAUUCUGACUGAGGAAGGAGACACUGACUCAACACAUUUCCUGAUGCCCAGCGGACUUGGUAUCCAGUUAGCCAGCUUUUGGGUGUCAUGGAGGCUUUACUAUCUGACUGGUGGCACAGAAUCAGUGGCAUGUCUGGGGUCUUUUGGCUUAUUUUUCUGAUACCGGAAAUCGGUGUGAAUAAACAUGUGCUGAUAACUGUACUCAACUGACUAUCUCGCCUUUCAGUAAUUUCAUUUUGUCCUUUCACCGAAGGGUAAAUGGAUGAGUAGAAAUGCAUUUCUACAUUUGUGAUUCCUCUAAGAGCUGUUGUAGAGUUAGCUGAUGUCUCAUGUCUCUUACAGAAUGGUUCCUGUAACAGAUGCUCCCCGAUGACUGAGGCUAUAAAUGUAUCCAGAAGAAGCUGUGGCCUCUCCACUUCCUGCUCGAGCUGUCUGCUGCCGUGCGUCCCACAUCCGUCAUAGACUCUCCUCUGAAACUACCCACAGCUCCCAACCAGAGUGGAGAAAUGGCAGUAUGGAGCUAUCUGUUAUGAAGAACACUGUCCUGCGUACAGGUCUUUGCUUCAGGUA